CUGGAGAUGGUCGCUGGGGAGAUGAAUGUGGACGGAAGCGGGAACCGCUGGAGAAACCUCGGAACUUUUAUUUGGAAAGCUGUGAAGUGAAGAUCCAGGAAAGCCUUGGACAAGAACAACCUCCAGAGGGGGAGCACAGGCCUAAGGCCUGCUGGCCAGACUGCAGCCCGUGGGGCCCAGAGCUGCUCGUUUCCUCCUAAAGGGAUCUUUCCGGCCACUUGAGGAUUUGAAAAGAGAGAGUUUGGGACCAGGAAACCUUUGAAGAAGAGCUUUCUCCAGAUGGGGACCUGGUCCUGAGGCCUGUUUGACAGGCUGCACCCUUUGGGGCCCCGUGGGGAUUGGAUCCGGGAGCUGAAACUUGGGACGGUGCAGGGACAGAGAAUCAAAUCCAUUCUGCUGUGAGGAAUCAUCAGACAAGAGCCAGAACCAGACAGAGCGAGAGAAUAAUCAGAAACUGUCCUGUCUCCCUGUCUUUCAUUUACACACUCUCGGAGAAAAGAGUUGUGGCGUUCAGUCUGUUUCUCUGGGAUUUUUACCACAAGGGGCGAGUCCUGGGCUGGGAGAGGAUAAAGGGGUAAACAGAUGGCAAGGGAGCUGCUGCACAGUCCGAUCCCACAGAUGUGACAGACUCCCUCACCCACUACAGUUCCCAUCUCGACCUCCGUGUACCCAAUUCUCUGUCUGUUCCACAACUUUCCUUCAAUCCCCAUCCUUCCCAUCUCUGCCCUGUUCACAUUUCCCUGUAGAUUCCCUUCCUACAACUCUCUGGAUCCUCCCUCUUUCCUAGAACUGUUGGAAUUGUUCACUCUUCCCCCACCUUUCUCUGUCUCUGUCAGCCCUGUGGGAUCUUGCUGUUCCUGCCUGAGCCCACGUUACCUGCCUAAUAGCAUCACCCCGCGCGCUCCCCCCACCCGCUUCACUAGCUGUCUGUUGUAUCUCUCUGGCUGCCCUUUGUCAUUUUCUCGAUGUUUUCUUUGUCUCUCCCAGUGAGUUCUCUCUCUAUUCCUCUGUCCUCCUGUGUCACCCCCCUUGCCUCACCAGAGUGUUUUAUUCUCUCUCUCUCUCUCUCUCUCUCUCUGUCCUGUUCUCUUUUCUCUGGGUUUUACACUCUCUUGUUUGUACUUUGAUUGUGUCCCUGAGAGUCUAUGUCCCUCUUUCAUUGCCUAGGAUCUUUCUGUCCAUUGUCGUCUUUUUCUGGGUGUUUUUCUCUCUCUCUUUCCCUGGUUUCACACUCUGCCUUUCCCCCUGUUUCUUUAAGCAGUUUUCUCUCUUCCUACCUCUGUCUCUGUCUCUGUGUCUGUCUGUCCCUCACCUCGUUCUUUUCUCUGCCUCCUUCCUAGAUCUAUACCCCCUCCCUCCCUGUCCUGCUGUUCCUGUUCCUGGGGUAGGGUGCUGCACAUGCUGUUAACACACUGGGAUCUUACUGUUUCCUGUGUCUCCCAUCGUCCAAACAGUGGGUGGGGGUGAGGGAGAUAAAGCCCCUUUCUCACUGAGCCGAGGGUGGGGAGCAGUGCAGGAGGCGGUCUGGGAUCUUGCUAUGCAUGAGACAGUCACACAGCUAGUCAGUGCACUACUCUGAGGCCCCCACCCCCUUCAGCUCAGGAGCUAGGGCUCUGAGGGGGGAUUGAGGGCGGUAUAUUGUACACAAUGGAGGCA
Chiloscyllium plagiosum (whitespotted bambooshark) is the source of this 1656-nucleotide non-coding RNA. The record is from RefSeq and is a predicted model, not a curated record. NCBI's taxonomy places the organism in Eukaryota, Metazoa, Chordata, Chondrichthyes, Orectolobiformes, Hemiscylliidae.